UUUCCUCUCUUCGGGCCAGUCUGGGGAGAGGGUGGCUAGCUGUGGCGGCGGCCAAUUACGUGGCGGACCUGCGGGGCUAAGCUGGCACGUCACUUCCGACUAGUGGAGUUUUUAGCCUUUUAACAUUCAAGGAUUAGGUAAGUUCUCCCCGCGGUAGACUUCAAAUACUCUUUGUCCUGCCCCUGCUUGGCGAAAUUUACCGAAAUUAUCUACCUAUCCCGCUGGAGUGGGAGCCGGGGGAGAGCUGGAACCGCGUCUCUGCUGCUCACCUUUGUGUCCUUAGCUCCUUCGCAUGGGGUCCGACCGCAACACGUGCGCUGGAUAAACGCUUGUUAACUGGAGCUCCCUCUUUGCCCACUAGCAGGGCAUUAGCUGGUGCUGAAGACAGUGGCUGCUUGGCGAGCCUGGAUCUCCAAGUGACCCCCUCAGCAACUCCUGAUGAACAGGACUGAAGCCAAUAUUAAAGCAAGUCAACCAAAGGUUCUCUGGUGUAGACAAGACAGCAAAAGGACAGACUACCUUGUGGAACCUAGCAUUGUUCUCCUUCUGCAGCACUAAGUAACAUUUGUUCUCCGUUAAGAUCUUUGCAAACCACACACAAGAAUUGCUGGUCAUCCUGCCAAUAGAUGCUGCUCACAGAACCAAAUUUCCUGUGCUGAAUUGUCACUCAUGGGCUUGAGAGUAGGAGACUGGAGACCAAGGUGGCUAGAAUCCAGUUGGGCCUGAUGUCUCCCUGUUGAAAGGGCUCCUUGUGGAAUGAAUAGCACAUGGCUCCUGUGGUGGAUCUGAUAGUGGCAUAGCACCAAGUGAUGCAGGCCUGCCAGGGGCCACAGACACAGAAGAUGCUCCCGGGGUCCCCCAUGUACUCCAGACACACUGCAGGCCACCUCUCCCAGCAGGUUGCCAGUCAUGGGCCCCAUCAUCAUGACUUCUGUCCAAGGUACUGUGUGCAGAAAUGUGAUUGAGAUUCAAGUCAGGGCCUCUCUGCCCUUUUCCCUCCAGAAACAAAACCAAGAUAAUUUAUCCUGAACACGGUGAAAAAAGGAAGGGAGGGAGGAGAAAAAGUCCGGGUCUCACCUGGGAUUCUCUGUCUCCUGCAACAUGAAGGAUUUAGCCUGGGAGGAGGUGGUGAGAACUCUGGGAGAGAAAAAAGAAGGAAAGAAUAGUUUUACCCAUGCUGAAGUUAAUUUAAACCUUCACCUAGAGAAGCAAAAAAAAAAAACCCACACUUUCCCAUUUUGUGCCUCCCUUCCUAGAGUUUUAGCCAAAGGUUUAGCUAAGUAAUUGGUUUUACCAGCGCACUCACUCCUCCUAUCCCAAGUCUGUUUGACUCCCUCCCCAUCAUCCUCCUCACCUCUUUUCAGGCAGGGUGGGGAUAGCAGCAGGAGGAGAUUUUGGGAGCCUGGCAACUCCUGCAAGGACCGCAGGACAGCCCCUCUGUGGGGAUGCGUGGUGCCCCAUCUGCCGCCCUUCUGAAGAAUGCACUGCCUUCACUUUUUACUGUGUUAGAGUCCAUCCAGACUGUUCUAUCCAAAAAAGUUUCUUUUUCCCCCACAGGCAAUCAGGAAAUGAUUCCUUUCCCGACUGCUUCUGUCUAGUGCCUGGGAAUCUUGAGUCAAUCCCUCAGUAAGUCAGUGACUAGGGAAAUCCCUCUCUGAGCCUCCCAGUUCAUGUUGCUUAGGGAACCUGAUAUUUUCGUGAAACCUGCCUACACAUGGGCAGCCCAACAGCAGAACAAAUGGUGGUGACCAAAGUGAACAAAGAAGUAUAGUUGUGCCAGCUUCGUAGUUGCCCAUGUGGACAAGUCAGCAGGAUCAGGACACGAGGAAGAGUAAAUGUGAGACAGUCAAUGUGACUUCUGCGAUAAACAGAUUUUUAAACCCCGAAAUUUUGCAAAAUUUUGGUGAAACCUGAACUUUCUUCGUUGCAUAUACUGGCACUAUCUGUACCAUCAUACAACUGUCUCACAUUAAAGCUAUUUUUCUUGGGCACUGAUGAGUAAGGUUGGUAUAAGUUCCUCAGAUCAACAAAAACCCAUUUUCCUGUAAGUCUUACAUUUAGUAUUUAAGGAACUAAAACUUAAAUACAUUUUGUGAAAUGGUUGACACUUCACUGAUAAUGAUUUAUUGCUUGGAUUAAUAAAUUUUCCAAAAGUUGUCUUAUGUAGAAUAUGGUUUGCAACCAGCAGAACCAUUAAUCUAUACUGCAAUGAUAUGCACUAUGUAUAAUUGUUUAAAAGCCUCUACUUAAUGAUGUAAAAUGCUCUAUUUAAUUACACAUUUGGGUAAACUGUAUACUAACAUCUGAUGGCAUUUUUCCACUGUUUGUUGCUUUUUUCAAAUACUUUAUUGUACAAAGCUGUUCUUAAUAUUUUUCAAGUUUUUUUCUUUGAAUUUUGCUAAUGUUUUCCUUGAAUUAUGAGCACUGACAGAAUGUGCUUAGCACUUUUGGCUAUUCACACAGCUUUUGAGCAUGAUUUGCAUCCAAUAUUUACAUUGCUAGCAAUAAUAAGCCAUCUGUGAGUUUUGUCAAAAGUUAUUGGGGAUUUUUUAAAUUUUAGAAAUGCAAAUUAUUGUUUCUUUGAACUAACUCUUAUGCAGUUGCAAAGGCAUUUCCAGUUGUUAUAGUUUGUGUACAAUAUCAGGUGUUCCAGAUUAUGAUUCAUUAUUAAUAUCAUUGCUUCCUUGUUCCCUCUGAGGUCCAGAAGAUUCAUGUUUACAAUAUUUAGAAACAAUGUUAAAAAGGUAUCCAAAGUUUGUCACUUUAUUAUUAGUUUGUUCUUAAUAUUCUGUUUAAGUUUUUGAAUUCAUAGAUAUCAAAACGCUGCACAAUUAUGAUUUCCACAGGAAUAACAACACACUAACAAUAAGAACCAAAAACAGCAAAUAGGCUGCCUACAAGUUUUGACAAUAUUAGGAUAAUGAUAAUGACAGUUUUUCUAAAUCUCACAGUAAAGAAUGCAGCAACCCAGCAACACUGCUACCUGUGGCCUCAGGCUGCAGUGUCAGCUCUUCCCUGGGUCUCCAGCCUGCCAGUCUAACCUGAAAAUUAUGUACUUGCCAGCCCCCACAGUCACGUGAGUGAACUGGCCCAGGCUGGUCACCAGGGUCAGUUUCUCUGUGUGUCAUUAAUUCAUUCAGUCUUCAGCAGUCUCUUUGGAGCUGAGAUGUACCUACCAUCUGCCUUUUGGGUGCUUAGGGUGGAGAACCAGAAAAGUAUAACCUAGUGUGUAUCCUCAAAGAGCUAACAAUAUGGGGUGGUACCUAUAGGUCUGGAAACACUUUACUGACUCUGUGAGGCAUACCAGGAGACGUCAGAGAACAGUCCCUCCUCAAAUGCCAAAUGAGAUGCAGAAGAAAUAGUUUGCUCAAGUUCAUGGGCCAGAUAUCCCAGUGGUCAGGGAGUUUCAUGAAUGAGAUGGAACUUUGCAUGGAACCCGAGGGAUGUGUAUGAUUUGAGUAGAUGAAGAAAAUGAGACUUUCCAAGCAGCUAGAAGUUAGGGAGCAGCAAGAUGUGUGGUGGGAUUGAGCACAGUUGGUUCAGAGGAUAGACUGCAGUUUUAAUAAUUUGUAGUAAAUAUCUCCCAACUGUUUGGCACUAUUGGAGCAAGUUCUUGAAUGCCAAAUGAAGGCAUAAAUCAGUAAGAGGCAUAAUAAAAGGCUGAGCAGUGCUUGGCUUUUUACGAACUGAUCCUGAUAGGAGCAGCUGUUCAACAAAGUUGCCAGGUCACCGUUACAUAGUCCCUGCCUUCUAGGGGCUCACUGCCUACUGGGAGAGACAGUCUGAAAGUUGGUGGAGCAUGUAACUGUUGGAUGAGGAGUUUGAGCCUGUGGACUGUGGGACCCCCGAGGAGGGUGUGGCUACUCUAGGCAGAACAAUCCCACAGUUUAUUUAUAUUUAACCUUGAAAUUCAUUAGAGGAUUUUUCAGCAGAGGUUUGGUACUUGUUAAUGUUAAGGUUUGCAUUCUCUAGAACCUCAAGGAAAGCUGUACCGUGCAUAAUGUACCCUCUUAUGUUAAUGUUGUGUACUGUGAUCCUGUUUCAGGGACUUGCACUUAGGAAUCUGUUACAGUGAGCACAGAAGCAGACCUGUGGGCUCAUAGUCUUCACCCCCCACCCAUAUAUACAAGAUGAACAGAGUGGAGGUUAAACAACUUGACUAAACAACACAGUUCAUGGUAAAGCCCAAGACUGUACCUGCCCAUCCACUGCCUUUUCCAUGUAUCCUGGAACUGAGCAUAGACCUCUUCCCAGGCAGAGCUGACAGCAAGUAAAGGAGAUCAUAAUCAGGGGACCAAACAACUUUGUCUAAAGUGUGAAUGUCACCUAAGGAGAAGCUGUGAGAUCAGAAGGGUGGGGCAGAGGAGCAGACACCAUGAGGGAGAGUCCUUGGGGGUACAUCUGCCAGACUGACACUGUCUGGCCUGGGCAGUGGAGGGGCUAGCAGGAACCACAGGUACUGGUGGUGUGGCUACUACCGUUACAACUGCCUGUGCUUGGACAUGGACCCUCUGCAAUAUGCGGCAGUUUCAUUCAUUGCCCCCUACAUUCUACACCAAGUAGAAAUGGAAGGCAAUUGGAUACUUCACAGACAAGAUCUAAGUGGAGAAGGAAUGCGUCCUGUGGCUGCAGAGAUCCUUGGAGCUUGGAGGGGAGAGCUUGAGCCCCACUGAUGAUGACCUCCCACAGCUCGCCAACUCAGCCCUCCCUAAGUCCCCAUCGGGGGCCAAUUCUCACUCUGGGGUUGGGGGGACUCCACCAUAGCUCAUCCAUCAUAGGGAUGUUGGUAUCUACUGUGGGUUGGGUAGGGCCGAUGUGCUGAGGAUGGCUCCCCCACAAGCAAGAGAUGUGGAUUUGGGGAGCUUCCCAUCUUGUGUUGAAGGAACAUAACUCAGAAUAAUAAGAGCCAACUAUAACAAACCCACAGCCAACAUCAUACUGAAUGGGCAAAAGCUGCAGGCAUUCCCCUUGAAAAGUGGCACAGGAUAAGGAAGCCCUUUCUCACCACUCCUAUUCAAUAUAGUGUUGAAAGUCCUGAUCACAGCAGUCAGGCAACAGAAAUAAUAAAGGGCAUCCAAAUAGGAAGAGAGGAAGUCAAACUAUCCUUGUUUGCAGACAGUAUGAUUCUAUAUCUAGAAAACCCCAUAGCCUCAGCCCAAAAGGUCCUUCAUCUGAUAAUUUCAGCAAAGUUUCAGGAGACAAAAUCAGUGUACAAAAAUCACUAACAUUCCUAUACACAGUCGCCAAGCCAAGAGCCAAAUCAGGAGCACAAUCCCAUUCAUAAUUGCCACAAAAAAGAAUAAAAUACCCAGGAAUGCAGCUAACCAAGGAAGUAAAGGAUCUCUACAAUGAGAAUCACAAACGCUGCUCAAAGAAAUCAGAGAUGACACAAACAAAUGGAAAAACUUUCCAUGCUCAUGGCUAGGAAGAAUCAAUAUCAUUAAAGUGGCCAUACUACCCAAAGCAAUUUAUAGAUUCAAUGCUAUUCCUAUCAAACUAUCAAUUACAUUUUUCACAGAACUAGAAAAAACUUAAAAUUCAUAUGGAACCAAAAAGCCUGAGUAGUCAAGGCAAUCCUAAACAAAAAGAACAAAGGUGGAGGCAUCACAUUACCUAACUUCAAACUACAGGGCUACCAUGACCAAAACAGCAUGGUACUGGUACAAAAGCAGACACACAGACCAGUGGGACAGAAUAGAGAGCCCAAAAAUAAGGCCACAAACCUACAGCCAUCUGAUCUUCAACAAAGUUGACAAAAACAAGCAAUGGGGAAAGGUCUCCCUAUUCAAUAAAUGGUGCUGGGAUAACUGGCUGGCCAUAUGCAGAAGAUCGUAACUGGACCCCUUUUACUAUGUACAAAAAUUAAGAUGGUUUAAAGAGUUAAAACCCAAAAUUAUAAAAAUCCUGAAGAUAACUUAGGCAAUACCAUUCUGGACAUAGGAACUGGCAAAUAUUUCAUGAUGAAGACACCAAAAGCAAUUGUAACAAAAGCAAAAAUGGACAAAUUGGAUUUAAGAGCUUUUUCAUAGCAAAAUAAACAACAGGGCAGACAAUCUACCAAAUGACAGAAAAUUUUUGCAAACUAUGCAUCUGACAAGGGGCUAAUAUCUAGCAUCUAUAAGGAAUUUAAACACAGUUACAGGAAAAAAAAAACCCACUCCAUUAAAAAAUGGGCAAAGGACAUGAACAGACACUUUUCAAAAAAGACAUACAUACAGCCAACUAGCGUGUUAAAGAAAACCUCAAUUAUCACUGAUCAUUAGAGAAAUGCAAAAUCAAAACCAUGAUGAGAUAUCAUCUGCCAGUCAGGAUGGCUACAAAAAAGUAAAAAAAUAAUAGAUGUUGGUGAGGUUAUGGAGAAAAGGAACUUAUACACUUGUUAGGAGUGUAAAUUAGUUCAAUCACUGUGGACAGCAGUGUGGUGAUUCCUCAGAGAGCUAAAAACAACUACCAUUUGACUCACCAAUCCCAUUACUGGAUAUUUACCUAAAGGAAUAUAAAUCAUUCCACCAUAAAGACACAUGCAAGUGUAUGUUCAUUGCAGCACUAUUAACAGUAACAAAGCUGGGCACAGUGGCUCACCUCACGACUGUAAUCCCAGCACUUUGGGAGGCUGAGGUAGGCGGAUCACCUGAGGUCGGCAGUUUGAGACCAGCCUGACCAACAUGGAGAGACCCCAUCUCUACUAAAAAUACAAAAUUAGCCAGGUGUGGUGGCUCAUGCCUGUAAUCCCA
RNAcentral lists this long non-coding RNA (6734 nucleotides) under Homo sapiens (human). RNAcentral's name for it is "HSALNT0333625". The record is from RNAcentral. Lineage: Eukaryota; Metazoa; Chordata; Mammalia; Primates; Hominidae.